GCAGUUGUUUGGGCUGUCGCUGUGGCUGGUUCUGCGGUGUGCGGCCAGCCAUGGAGCGCUCUGGGCCCAGCGAAGUGACAGGCUCAGACGCAUCGGGACCGGACCCGCAGCUUGUGGUCACCAUGGGCUUCACGGGGUUCGGGGUUCGGUAAAAAAGCUCACACAUUUGACUUGGAAGCAAUGUUUGAACAAACUCAAAGAACAGCUGUGGAAAGAAGUCACAAAACACUGGUUCAACCCAAUGGAAAUGGAUUGAAAGAGUGAAAGUCACUGGUCUCAAAGAAUCUACGGAAUUUAGCAUUUUGAAAAUCACAGAGCAAUUUUGGGUAGGUAUUCACAUGCACUAAAAAACCAGGCAAACAUCUGACUCCCAGGAUAAAGUGACUGAGAGCAGUAGAAGACUUGUUGAGCCUUAAGGAAUAAGAGGAAAAUUAUGUUAUGAAGUGCAGGAACAGCACAGACCCAGACGAGGGGAUGCAGCCCGGAGCCAGUAACCCGGCGCCUCCUCCUCCCCAGGGCGCAGCGCUGGCUGCUCCCCGGAUACCGUGAUCACACGUCCCAGGUCCUGAGAGCGCCUCAUAGGUAGACAGUUCUUUGGGACUUUUGGGACGCAGCACUUGAAGAGAGGUUUACCUAAACUUUCCUCCUGGGAGCCUGUCAUCAUUUGAAAGUAACAGAAGAAAGCUGUCAGGCUGAGGAAAGUUUCAACAGGCACUUGGUGAGAAUGGGAAGCAUCCAUUCAUUGGGAAAUCACGGGGACAGAGGAGGAAUUCACGGGAUCAGAGCACUGAGAAACUCCAGAGGCUUCUGGUUCACCGCCCUGAUUCCACAGAUGUGGGUCAGAGGCAGAGAUGGAAGUUGGAAUGGACAAGCCUGCCCUCUCCUCAGCUCUCCAUGGCUCUGUCCUCAGGCUGUUUCUGCAAUUUGACAUGAGGCCUGGCCCCAGGGAAACCAGUGGGGCCUCAUCUCCUCCCUGUGCUGCUCUGAGGUGGAGCCUUCUCAGGGUCAGUCCAGCUCUGGAGCCCCUCUCCAGCUCGGUCACCAAAG
This 1047-nucleotide long non-coding RNA is filed under the name Homo sapiens (human). RNAcentral's name for it is "non-protein coding lnc-RAB23-53:18". Lineage: Eukaryota; Metazoa; Chordata; Mammalia; Primates; Hominidae. The record is from RNAcentral.